GAUGAACGCUGGCGGCGUGCCUAAUACAUGCAAGUCGAGCGAACAGAUGAGGAGCUUGCUCCUCUGACGUUAGCGGCGGACGGGUGAGUAACACGUGGAUAACCUACCUAUAAGACUGGGAUAACUUCGGGAAACCGGAGCCAAUACUGGAUAAUAUAUUGAACCGCAGGGUUCAAUAGUUAAACACGGUUUUGCUGUCUCUUAUAGAUGGAUCCGCGCCGCAUUAGCUAGUUGGUAAGGUAACGGCUUACCAAGGCAACGAUGCGUAGCCGACCUGAGAGGGUGAUCGGCCACACUGGAACUGAGACACGGUCCAGACUCCUACGGGAGGCAGCAGUAGGGAAUCUUCCGCAAUGGGCGAAAGCCUGACGGAGCAACGCCGCGUGAGUGAUGAAGGUCUUCGGAUCGUAAAACUCUGUUAUUAGGGAAGAACAAAUGUGUAAGUAACUAUGCACGUCUUGACGGUACCUAAUCAGAAAGCCACGGCUAACUACGUG
This 497-nucleotide ribosomal RNA is filed under the name uncultured bacterium. RNAcentral's name for it is "partial 16S ribosomal RNA". It matches the Rfam family "Bacterial small subunit ribosomal RNA", at positions 28 to 507 of the family's 1533-position model. The record is from RNAcentral.